Molecule: unclassified non-coding RNA, 2954 nt
Filed under: Hevea brasiliensis (rubber tree)
Lineage: Eukaryota; Viridiplantae; Streptophyta; Magnoliopsida; Malpighiales; Euphorbiaceae
Source: RNAcentral
AUACUUUGGUGCACAAAUAUUGUCUCCAACUACAGGAACAGUCUUGAACAACGAAAUGGAUGAUUUCUCCAUGACACUGUAAAUGAGAAACCUCCUGCUGAGUUUUGUAGUUUGGAAGCUUUUUGUGCUGAAAAUUUUCCAAUGCGAUACUGUUGUGUUCUUUGCUUAUGUGAAAUCGAGUGUCUUUUGGCUAUUUGGUUAAUGCGUUCACUUCUGGAGUUGGGUGUUGUGGUUUUCCUAUAUUUCUUGAGUUGAGAAACAGUGGCCCAGAACCUAUAUGAAAACUCGGUUAUUCAAAAUUUCUGCAAAUAAAGCAACGUAACCGAAGAACAUCAACUUUUGAAAUUAAAGCAAUGUGCAGUAGAUUCUGUUGGAGACAGUUUCAUAGUGGAUGCAUACGCGCGCAGGAAGCCCAACAAAAACUCAUCAACAAUCCCCAAUCACUGAAGCUCACUAAUCCAAUCCCAAACUCAUAUCCAUCAAAGAAAGAAUUAAGCCGAAAACACAAACCUUCUAAGAAUGAAUUCGAAACCACCACAGGCUCGGAUAUAGUGAAAUUGAACAUGGCUAUCACAACCCACAUGCGCAAUGGCCAAUGUGAAUCCGCCCUUAGAGUAUUCAACUCCAUGCCCUCUCGAAGCACGGUCUCAUACAAUGCAAUGAUUUCUGGGUACUUAAUGAAUGGCAAGUUUGAUCUUGCAAGAGAAAUGUUUGAUAAAAUGCCUCAUAGAGAUUUUUUUUCUUGGAAUGUGAUGCUAAGUGGGUAUGUGAGGAAUAAAAAUCUUACUGCUGCUCGUGCACUGUUUGAGAAAAUGCCCAAAAGGGAUAUUGUCUCUUGGAAUGCAAUGCUGUCUGGGUAUGCACAGAAUGGGUUUGUUGAUGAGGCAAGAGAAAUUUUUGAUAAGAUGCCGUUUAAGAAUGCGGUUUCAUGGAAUGGUUUGCUGGCAGCAUAUGUGCACAAUGGAAGGAUAGAUGAUGCAAGGAGGUUGUUUGAAUCAAAAUUGGAUUGGGACAUUGUUUCUUGGAAUUGUUUGAUGGGUGGAUUUUUGAGGAGGAAGAGGUUAGCCGAUGCGAGGAGGCUUUUUGAUAAGAUCCCUGUGAAAGACGAGGUUUCAUGGAAUACUAUGAUUACAGGUUACGCACAGAAUGGAGAACUAGAAGAAGCACAGAGAUUGUUUGAGGAGUCUCCAAGCCGGGAUGUGUUUACAUGGACAGCAAUGGUUUCUGGAUUCGUGCAAAACGGGAUGUUGGAUAAAGCAAGAAGCAUUUUUGAUAGGAUGCCUGAGAAGAAUUCAAUUUCAUGGAAUGCAAUGAUUGCAGGGUAUGUACAAUGUAAAAUGUUGGACAUGGCAAAUGAACUGUUUGAGGCAAUGCCUUGUAGAAAUAUUAGUUCUUGGAAUACAAUGAUCACAGGAUACUCUCAGAGUGGGGAAGUAGCCCGUGCAAGGAAUUUGUUUGAUAGGAUGCCUCUGCGUGAUUCCAUCUCUUGGUCAGCCAUGAUUGCUGGCUAUGUUCAAAAUGGUUAUAGUGAAGAGGCUGUACAUCUUUCUGUAGAAAUGAGAAGAGAUGGAGAAAAGUUGAACAGGUCCUCAUUUACCUGUGCUUUAACUGCAUGUGCCAAUAUUGCAGCUUUGGAGUUGGGGAAGCAAUUGCAUGGUUGGCUAGUUAAGUCUGGAUACCAGACUGGAUGUUUUGUGGGGAAUGCUCUUCUUGCAAUGUAUUGCAAGUGUGGAAGCAUAGAUGAAGCACAUGAUGCAUUCCAAGAACUAUCAGAUAAGGAUUUAAUCUCAUGGAAUACAAUGAUUUAUGGUUAUGCAAGGCAUGGAUUUGGUAGAGAGGCACUGAUGGUUUUUGAGUCAAUGAAGACAAUGGGUGUCAAGCCCGACGAUGCCACUAUGGUUGGUGUGUUGUCUGCCUGUGGUCAUACUGGCUUAGUAGACAAGGGAACUGAAUAUUUUUACUCAAUGAGUCAAGAAUAUGGUAUCACAGCAAAAUCAGUACAUUACACUUGCAUGGUUGAUCUUUUAGGUCGAGCUGGGCGCUUGGAUGAGGCCCAAAAUUUGAUGAGGAACAUGCCUUUUGAACCAGAUGCCGCAACGUGGGGUGCUUUACUUGGUGCAAGCAGGAUCCAUGGCAAUACUGAAUUAGGCGAAAAGGCUGCUGAGAUAAUUUUCAAGAUGGAGCCUGAUAAUUCAGGAAUGUAUAUUCUUCUCUCAAACUUGUAUGCAGCUUCAGGAAGAUGGCCUGAUGUUAGUAAGAUGAGACUGAAAAUGAGGGAUAAAGGUGUGAAGAAGGUACCUGGGUAUAGUUGGCUUGAAGUGCAAACUAAAAUUCAUACAUUUACGGUUGGGGAUUGUUUUCACCCAGAAAAGGAUAAAAUAUAUGCAUUUCUAGAAGAGAUGUACAUGAAAAUGAAGCAUGAGGGAUAUUUAUCCUCUAUAAAAAUGGUUUUACAUGAUGUGGAAGAGGAGGAAAAGGAGCAAAUGCUCAAGUAUCACAGUGAGAAAUUGGCUGUAGCAUAUGGGGUUCUUUCUGUGCCUACUGGAAGACCUAUUCGUGUGAUAAAAAAUUUGCGGGUCUGUGAAGAUUGUCACAAUGCCAUCAAAUAUAUAUCCAAGAUCACAGGAAGGUUGAUCAUCUUAAGAGAUAAUAAUCGCUUUCACCACUUCAAAGAAGGUUCUUGUUCUUGUGGGGAUUAUUGGUGAAACAGGAAAAAAAUAUUUAGGAUCGCUGAUGCAUUUGAAUGUAUUCUCCAUACCUGUUAAGUAUAGGCAUUUUCUCUGCUCAACCAGUUAACUGUUGUCAACUCUUAAAAUGAAAAAAUAGAAAUCAGCAUUGCUGUAACUUUGUUUCUCUUCAUCUCUGUAACAUUGUUCUCAUCUGCAACUUGUUUCAAUCUUUAUUCUUUCACUAUAAGGGGAAAAGCUAAAACGGAUGUUCGGUUUGGUUCAAAA